This 419-nucleotide ribosomal RNA is filed under the name uncultured bacterium. RNAcentral's name for it is "bacterial SSU rRNA". It matches the Rfam family "Bacterial small subunit ribosomal RNA", at positions 355 to 787 of the family's 1533-position model. The record is from RNAcentral.
UGAGGAAUAUUGGGCAAUGGGCGCAAGCCUGACCCAGCAACGCCGCGUGAAGGAAGAAGGCUUUCGGGUUGUAAACUUCUUUUCUCAGGGACGAAGCAAGUGACGGUACCUGAGGAAUAAGCCACGGCUAACUACGUGCCAGCAGCCGCGGUAAUACGUAGGUGGCAAGCGUUAUCCGGAUUUACUGGGUGUAAAGGGCGUGUAGGCGGGAAAGCAAGUCAGAUGUGAAAACCAUGGGCUCAAACCUGUGGCCUGCAUUUGAAACUGUUUUUCUUGAGUACUGGAGAGGCAGACGGAAUUCCUAGUGUAGCGGUGAAAUGCGUAGAUAUUAGGAGGAACACCAGUGGCGAAGGCGGUCUGCUGGACAGCAACUGACGCUGAGGCGCGAAAGCGUGGGGAGCAAACAGGAUUAGAUACCC